UGCGGAACACGUACAGAACCUUCCUUUGAGCGGGAAUAGCCCAGAGAAAUUUGGAUUAAUACCCCAUAGUAUAAUGAAGUGGCAUCACUUUAUUAUUAAAGAUUUAUCACUCGAAGAUGGCUGUGCGGCUGAUUAGGUAGUUGGCGGGUAAAGGCCCACCAAGCCUGCGAUCAGUAACUGGUGUGAGAGCAGACCAGUCACACGGGCACUGAGACACGGGCCCGACUCCUACGGGAGGCAGCAGUAAGGAAUAUUGGUCAAUGGAGGCAACUCUGAACCAGCCAUGCCGCGUGGAGGAUGAAGGUCCUCUGGAUUGUAAACUUCUUUUAUAUGGGACGAAAAAGGCUUUCUAAGUCGUCUGACGGUACCAUAUGAAUAAGCACCGGCUAACUCCGUG
This 397-nucleotide ribosomal RNA is filed under the name uncultured bacterium. RNAcentral's name for it is "bacterial SSU rRNA". It matches the Rfam family "Bacterial small subunit ribosomal RNA", at positions 107 to 507 of the family's 1533-position model. The record is from RNAcentral.